GAUGAACGCUAGCGGCAGGCCUAACACAUGCAAGUCGAACGGUAACAGAAGAGCUUGCUCUUGCUGACGAGUGGCGCACGGGUGCGUAACGCGUAUGCAACCUACCCUGAUCAGGGGGAUAGCCCAGAGAAAUUUGGAUUAAUACCCCAUAAUAUAAAGAUAUGGCAUCAUAUUAUUAUUAAAACUCCGGUGGAUCAGGAUGGGCAUGCGUCCUAUUAGCUAGUUGGUGUGGUAACGGCACACCAAGGCAACGAUAGGUAGGGGUUCUGAGAGGAUGAUCCCCCACACUGGUACUGAGACACGGACCAG
This 309-nucleotide ribosomal RNA is filed under the name uncultured bacterium. RNAcentral's name for it is "bacterial SSU rRNA". It matches the Rfam family "Bacterial small subunit ribosomal RNA", at positions 28 to 334 of the family's 1533-position model. The record is from RNAcentral.